Oncorhynchus tshawytscha (Chinook salmon) is the source of this 351-nucleotide long non-coding RNA. Lineage: Eukaryota; Metazoa; Chordata; Actinopteri; Salmoniformes; Salmonidae. The record is from Ensembl.
AGAGAGAGAGAGAGAGAAUAUGACAUUUGAAAUGUCUUUAUUAUUUUGGAACUUCUGUGAGUGUAAUGUUUACUGUUAAUUUGUAGAGAGAGAGAGAGAGACAGACAGGGCUGUGCUGCAACAACUCAGAGAGAGAGACAGACAGGGCUAGAGAGAGAGAGAGAGAGAGAGAGAGACAUGGCUGUGCUGCAACAACUCAGAGUGAGAGAGAGAGACUUUUCUCUCGACCUCUUUUCUCUCCGCAUCUUUCUCUCCCACGCUCCCGAGUAGAGGGCAGACUCUUCAGCUACCUGGGACCCUCCACUACUCCCCAGCUGCAGGGAGGUCAUAGAUGGAUUGUGAUGACCUCAU